RNAcentral lists this ribosomal RNA (577 nucleotides) under Enterococcus sp. 15A. RNAcentral's name for it is "bacterial SSU rRNA". It matches the Rfam family "Bacterial small subunit ribosomal RNA", at positions 380 to 948 of the family's 1533-position model. Lineage: Bacteria; Bacillati; Bacillota; Bacilli; Lactobacillales; Enterococcaceae. The record is from RNAcentral.
AGUCUGACCGAGCACGCCGCGUGAGUGAAGAAGGUUUUCGGAUCGUAAAACUCUGUUGUUAGAGAAGAACAAGGAUGAGAGUAAAAUGUUCAUCCCUUGACGGUAUCUAACCAGAAAGCCACGGCUAACUACGUGCCAGCAGCCGCGGUAAUACGUAGGUGGCAAGCGUUGUCCGGAUUUAUUGGGCGUAAAGCGAGCGCAGGCGGUUUCUUAAGUCUGAUGUGAAAGCCCCCGGCUCAACCGGGGAGGGUCAUUGGAAACUGGGAGACUUGAGUGCAGAAGAGGAGAGUGGAAUUCCAUGUGUAGCGGUGAAAUGCGUAGAUAUAUGGAGGAACACCAGUGGCGAAGGCGGCUCUCUGGUCUGUAACUGACGCUGAGGCUCGAAAGCGUGGGGAGCGAACAGGAUUAGAUACCCUGGUAGUCCACGCCGUAAACGAUGAGUGCUAAGUGUUGGAGGGUUUCCGCCCUUCAGUGCUGCAGCAAACGCAUUAAGCACUCCGCCUGGGGAGUACGACCGCAAGGUUGAAACUCAAAGGAAUUGACGGGGGCCCGCACAAGCGGUGGAGCAUGUGGUUUA